This 468-nucleotide ribosomal RNA is filed under the name uncultured bacterium. RNAcentral's name for it is "partial 16S ribosomal RNA". It matches the Rfam family "Bacterial small subunit ribosomal RNA", at positions 28 to 507 of the family's 1533-position model. The record is from RNAcentral.
GACGAACGCUGGCGGCGUGCUUAACACAUGCAAGUCGAACGGAAAGGCCCUGCUUUUGUGGGGUGCUCGAGUGGCGAACGGGUGAGUAACACGUGAGUAACCUGCCCUUGACUUUGGGAUAACUUCAGGAAACUGGGGCUAAUACCGGAUAGGAGCUCCUGCUGCAUGGUGGGGGUUGGAAAGUUUCGGCGGUUGGGGAUGGACUCGCGGCUUAUCAGCUUGUUGGUGGGGUAGUGGCUUACCAAGGCUUUGACGGGUAGCCGGCCUGAGAGGGUGACCGGCCACCAUGGGACCGAGGUACGGCCCCGAACCCUACGGGGGGCAAGCGUGGGGAAUAUUGCCCAAUGGGGGGGAGCCUGAUGCAGCAACCCCGGGUGCGGGAUGAACGGCUUCGGGGUGUAAACCGCUUUCGCCUGUGACGAAGCGUGAGUGACGGUAAUGGGUAAAGAAGCCCCGGCUAACUACGUG